RNAcentral lists this ribosomal RNA (492 nucleotides) under uncultured bacterium. RNAcentral describes it as "partial 16S ribosomal RNA". It matches the Rfam family "Bacterial small subunit ribosomal RNA", at positions 29 to 507 of the family's 1533-position model. The record is from RNAcentral.
AGUGAACGCUGGCGGUGGGCCUAACACAUGCAAGUCGAACGGCAGCACAGUAAGAGCUUGCUCUUACGGGUGGCGAGUGGCAGACGGGUGAGGAAUACAUCGGAAUCUACUUUUUCGUGGGGGAUAACGUAGGGAAACUUACGCUAAUACCGCAUACGACCUACGGGUGAAAGCAGGGGAUCUUCGGACCUUGCGCGAUUGAAUGAGCCGAUGUCGGAUUAGCUAGUUGGCGGGGUAAAGGCCCACCAAGGCGACGAUCCGUAGCUGGUCUGAGAGGAUGAUCAGCCACACUGGAACUGAGACACGGUCCAGACUCCUACGGGAGGCAGCAGUGGGGAAUAUUGGACAAUGGGCGCAAGCCUGAUCCAGCCAUACCGCGUGGGUGAAGAAGGCCUUCGGGUUGUAAAGCCCUUUUGUUGGGAAAGAAAAGCAGCAGGUUAAUACCCCGCUGUUCUGACGGUACCCAAAGAAUAAGCACCGGCUAACUUCGUG